AUCACAGAUGUACUUUCUUCAUUCUCCUAAGUACUGAAUCAUCCACCCACAGUCUGCUAGCCUUGAGAAAUGCAGGAAAAGCGGGGGCAGUGUGGGGAUUGCUUUGCUCAUUUUGAUAGCCCCAGCAUCCAGCACCAAGGGAGCACAUUGUGGGCAUUUGUGAAACACUUGCUAAUGGAAAGAAUCAUGAAAGAAUGAAGAGUAGGGGCCGGGCGCGGUGGCUCAAGCGUGUAAUCCCAGCACUUUGGGAGGCCGAGGCGGAUGGAUCACGAGGUCAAGAGCUCGAGACCAUCUUGGUCAACAUGAUAAGACCCCGUCUCUACUAAAAAUACAAAAAAUUGGCUGGGCAUGGUGGCGCGUGUCUGUAAUCCUAGUCGCUCGGGAGGCUGAGGCAGGAGAACUGCCUGAAUCCAGGAGGCGGAGGGUUGCGGUGAGCCGAGAUUGCGCCAUUGCACUCCAGCCUGGGUCACAAGAGCGAAACUCCGUCUCAAAAAAAAAAAAAAAAAGAAUGAAGAGUAGAUGAAUCCUAAUGGCACAGAGCCUGAGGUCACAUCAGGAAACCCCUUCUCCAACCCUGCUUCCUUUCCUGUCAGACAGUGGUUGCAAUUGCAGACCUUAAUGCCAACUGUUUGUCAGCUGGGUUUCUGAGACCUUAAUGACUUCUGUGAUGCAGUAUUUUCCUGUUCUGGAUUGCUUGAGCUCCAGAUAUACGAGGUACCAUCAGCAUUUCAGAGACAUCAGUAUAAUAAGCCCAAGGGGAGAAUGAUGUGGCAAUUUCUAAAUUUCCUAGAAGUAUUGUUCAGGAUGGGCUUAAGCAGGCUGCCAUCCAUGUCACGCCACCACUGGGCACAUUUUGUUUUUUGGCAACUUCCCCAACAGGGUGGCUGGUGGGUCAGUGUUCACUUGAGAGAUCUGCAGAUGACUGGAACAAAUGCCUGUGGUGGAGAAGAAUACUAAAAAGGUGAAGUUGGCUCCUGCAGAAGGACUUGAGGGAAGGCAGAGAUGUAUAGUAUGAGGGAACUCACUUAGGGAAGUUUUUUUAGCUGUUGGACUCUCUGAGAAGGAUAAUGCAAGGACCAGAGAAAGAAAGGCUUCAUCUUACAAAGGACAUCACAUUUAAGGACAGGAAUCAAAUAAAGCUUGUUGUCUAAAGAGGAAAAGAAUAGACAAGCGUGCUAACAUUUCUUGUGUCUGUAAAGUAGCACUGGGGGAGGAAGGCAAGGGGACUUUCAGUAGAAGGACCACUCCGGCAAAAGCAUGGAGGGUCACCCCUAACUGCUGUGUGCCUCAGCUUCCUCAGGUGUGAAAUGCAAAUGAUAAGAGUAUCAUCCCAUCCUCCCUCAGAUGAUGAUGGGAAGGAUUAAAUGAAUUCAUGUAUGUAAAGACUUUAGAACAGUGCCUGGAACAUGAUAAGCAUUAAGCAGAUGUUCCCACUCUAAUGGUUAUUGCAAAAUUCAGAGUAACAGGAAAUCUUGAUCAAGAUUUCUAAAGUCAUUGGGAUGCUUAGAAUUUGCUGAGCAACUUCAACAACUGAGACUUUGACUUGAAUAAGAUGGAGAAAGGUCCAUGAUUUUGGAGAAUCUUCAUUUCUUUCCAGCUCCAGUAAUAACCCUGGCCUCUUUCCAACCCUUUAGUCACUGCUUCUCAGAAAAGAGGAGUGGCUUGUCUGAUUAGUAAACUUGGGAAAGGAACUUAGUUGGAAGAUGCCACUUUGUCCUUUCUCUUUUCUUUCACUUUUGGAUCCAGCUUUCCUGAGGAAAGUCUGAUUUCUCUGCUUCUACAUAUUACAAACCUGCAGGGUCAGGUCUGUGAUUGUCCAGAGUUGCCUGUUGCUGGCUGGACACAUUUGUCAAAAUCAGAGAGAAUGUAAGAAGCCUGUUGUGGCUAUAAUCUGCCCACUUUCAAAACAACCAUGUAUUUAUUAUAAGAAAGCUGAUAUUUUAAUGUCCAUUUCUCUGAUCUUGGGGGAAUUUGAAUCCAGGAGUGGAAAAGAAGGGUGUUAUUUUGUGGGCUUUCUAAAUAUGAAAGUUAAAAAUUAUACAAGGCACUAAAGUUUUCAUUUCAAAGCAAGUAAACGCUAUGUAAAAAAGAAAGUGUGCUAUUAUACCUAGGUGUCUAUUUCUUUUCUGUCUUGAUUAUUUUGGAUAUCUAAAUUUUUAUAUCUCACUUUCAUGGUGUAGCUGACUAAGCCAUUAGUAACUUUAAUAAAGUGUUCUAUUUUUACAAAAGGAUGUUUUCCUAACAUGUGCUCUAUCCAUGCCCAAUGAGUACUUGGUAGCCACCCAAAUGCAAGCCAAUUUCCAUAGUGGUAAUUAAUGACAACACUGCUAUUCCUAUCACAUUCAACUCUACGUCUCAAUUAAUAUUCCCAACAUACGGUGACCUAAUGAAUCACUUGUAUCUAGAAUGGUGCGUCUGUCCAAACCAGUGGUUCUUCACCAAGAGGGCAUACUUGAUUCACUUUGGGAGCUUUUAUAAACUAUGCAAGAACAUUCUACCCUUCCCUCACACAAUAUCCUAGCCACCUUAAGGUCAGAGUAAUCACCAAUUAAGUUAGAAAACAGACUGUAGAUUCUUCAUUUGGCUUA
RNAcentral lists this long non-coding RNA (2588 nucleotides) under Callithrix jacchus (white-tufted-ear marmoset). RNAcentral's name for it is "lncRNA (ENSCJAG00000072431.1)". The record is from RNAcentral. Lineage: Eukaryota; Metazoa; Chordata; Mammalia; Primates; Cebidae.